This 593-nucleotide ribosomal RNA is filed under the name Clonostachys grammicospora. RNAcentral describes it as "eukaryotic LSU rRNA". It matches the Rfam family "Eukaryotic large subunit ribosomal RNA", at positions 1 to 607 of the family's 3401-position model. The record is from RNAcentral. Lineage: Eukaryota; Fungi; Ascomycota; Sordariomycetes; Hypocreales; Bionectriaceae.
UUGACCUCAGAUCAGGUAGGAAUACCCGCUGAACUUAAGCAUAUCAAUAAGCGGAGGAAAAGAAACCAACAGGGAUUGCCCUAGUAACGGCGAGUGAAGCGGCAACAGCUCAAAUUUGAAAUCUGGCGCAAGCCCGAGUUGUAAUUUGUAGAGGAUGUUUCUGGCGACGUGCCUUCCGAGUUCCCUGGAACGGGACGCCAUAGAGGGUGAGAGCCCCGUACGGUUGGAUGCCUAGCCUCUGUGAAACUCCUUCGACGAGUCGAGUAGUUUGGGAAUGCUGCUCUAAAUGGGAGGUAUACGUCUUCUAAAGCUAAAUACCGGCCAGAGACCGAUAGCGCACAAGUAGAGUGAUCGAAAGAUGAAAAGCACUUUGAAAAGAGGGUUAAAAAGUACGUGAAAUUGUUGAAAGGGAAGCGUUCAUGACCAGACUUGGGCGGGUUGAUCAUCCGUGGUUCUCCGCGGUGCACUCUGCCCGCCCAGGCCAGCAUCAGUUCGCCCCGGGGGAAAAAGGCUUCGGGAAUGUGGCUCCUCCGGGAGUGUUAUAGCCCGCUGCGUAAUACCCUGGGGCGGACUGAGGUUCGCGCUCUGCAAGG